UGAGAAAUGCAUUGAAAAGGAAAAAAAUUACAGAUUACAGUUCAUUGCAGUGCAGAAGUUUUGAUGUAUAAAUAUUUCUGAACAUUCAACAAUUAUCUUCAAAUAUUUUCUUAAUAUUUUAUAUAAUGUUUGAUGACGUAUGACCCUUGCUGUGGUGCCUUGAAAGCAAUUAGUCAAUUCACUCGUUCAUAAAUUGCAACCCAUCUUUUUUUACUGUGCCACUUUUCACUAUAUAGAGGACAGACAGCCAUCACCACCACACAUCUGCUCCUUUCUCCCUGCAGGUGUGGUGACAAGUAGUGAGGUCACCACUGAAUCUGACACACCUGCUGAGCCUGACCUGGUGUCUUUCUGUGCUACCCUGGGCAACAACCGAGCCCUGCGAGUCCCUACCCUCUUCAAGCCAGGUCAGUCAUGGUCAGGGGAAGCUCAAAUAUUUCAGAACAGUGCAGGGAUUAUCUCCAACACAAAUGGAGACCUGCAAAAUGUACCUGUCUCCCUCUAUAUACCAGACAAGCAAUCCCUCAUAGGGUGGCCCAGGCAAAGCACUACACUCUCAUACACGCAUCAUUCAUACUCUUAGUUCUGUCACCUCCUGGUGGUUAGCAGUCAUCUCGUAGACCACUCUGCUACACCCCAGGAACUUAGGCAUAGCACAUCAGGUCAUAUACUUGGAAAAUAAAGUGAAAAUACUUGCUCCUGACAAGCUUACAAAACCAAUAGUGCACUUGUGAACUCCUCCUAAACUAAGGAGAUAAAACACUGUUAUAUUAGGUGCCUAAGAUUGAAAAGUAGAUAGACUAAAGCACUUACUGUUUUGUGCCAGUUAGUGUGGAGUUAACACUUGGAGAUUGAGAAAAGUACAAGGGGAAGAGACAGUUCACUUCUUAGCCUGGUCUGAGUGUACCAUUGUUUGAGGCAGGUGUUAGGCUGGCAUGUAUAUGGAUGGACAGGAGAGACAAAGCAGCAGGAAUAUGGCUAGAUUUAAAAACCGUGAGGAUUAAGAUUGUUUUCAAAUUGAGUGGUAAUUGAAUGAUAAUGAGGUUGUUAAUGCCAAGUAAAUAGUGAGUUUCAAAAGAUUACACAUAUUUAUGAACCAGGGUGAUUGAUCAAAAUAGGUAGGCAUGUUCAGGGACUGACUGCCCUAUGUAGGGCUGAUGGCUUCUUGCAGCUUUUGUUGUUUUUGUGCUCUUAUGUUCUUAUAAGGGAAUAAAGUCUUAAUGAGUAAUGAUGGAAGAAAAAGACAAGGUUAGUCAUCAGGACCAAUAAACUGGCAUUGGCACUGGUGGCUCUUGGUUUGCAUAAGUUGUUUUACAUUAAUUAGUUUAAUGUGACUUAAAAUAUAAUAAAUUAAGCCCUUUCACUGCAUUAAGCAACAAUUUGCAGCAUUAAGAAGUAUGUAUGAAAUCUUUAUAAGCAUGUGCAAAAAAGAAGAGCAUGAAAAAGAAUAGAUUUUGCAAUUUUUGGUGGUGUAGUGUAGUGUUUGGGGUAGAUCAGCAACAGACAUGCCAGAGUGCUGAGUGACUGAGGAAAGAUUUGACAGACAGCAGGAAAAGGGUUCAUUGAAUUUACGUGAUCUUUUCACCUCGGCACGACCCGUCGCUGUGCUUACAUAAAUAUUAAGGAAAUUUGUUUCCUUUUUUUCUGCAUUUUUGUUGUUUCAGCUUUUACAUUUAAGGUUGGGGUUAAUAAACAAAGAUAAACUAUAUGAAUUAGCAUUAUUCAUUUAUAGGUUAGGUUAGGUAAGGUUAUCACAGUGAAAGGGUUAAAAGAAAUCCAUCCAUCCAUACAUAUGUUCCCUUAUUUACCCAUAUGUUUGCACCCCAAGCUGACUAACCACCACCCUGCCCACCAGACGGGGACUACCAAACUGUGGCUGACAUGGUGGGUGGCAGUCACUCCAUUACAGAGUCAACUACUAGUCACGAGGAAAGUUUGGACGAGGCCAGAAGUGCGUCAUCCCACUGCAGGUCACGGGGACAGGAACUGCAGGCCAGGCAGGGUCACCGUCCCUCCCACGGCGACCCGGAUUAUAGCUAUGCUCACCCUGUGAAGAAGCAGUACCUUCCCCCACCCCUCCACUGUCCUCCACUGACAGCAACAGGUGUAUGAGUUAGUGAUAGUGAGGUCACUGACAGACAGACUCGCCAAAUUGUUCAUUAGUAAAAGUUCCAUGGCCACUAAGUUUGUAAUCUGCUUCUGUGUUUGUAUCUUUCCAGCCUUUUUAUUCAUUGAUGUACACUUUUGCCUUUCACUGCUUCCUCCUGUAAUCCAUUCUAUAUCUUUAUAUAUUUACAUGGAAAGAUAUGUUUGCAUUAUUUGGACAUUCUCUCUCUCUCUCUCUCUCUCUCUCUCUCUCUCUAAUAUUGAGGUUCAUCUCUUGUCCAUAACAAAAGGGCAUUUCUGUCUGGUUCCUCAGGUUGGUUGACUAACCCUAAAGCUGCAGGGGUUUUCACACAUUUCUCCAUUCCAUAUGUCUCUACUCCUUUGUGGAAAGAUGUGUGUUAUUUAGGAAGCUCUCUUCUGUCCAAGUUUCUUUUCAUCUUUAUCAUCAUGUGUCAAGUCAUCCAGUUCUGGCACUAUCUUAGUGGCUGUUCUUUGUAUUCUUUCCAAUCUCUACAUAAAACAUCACCGAAUUAAUUAAGCUUAGCAGAAAUUAUGUGAUGUGCCCUACUGAUGCUGGUGUGAAGGCGAGGUGUUUGUAGUGAGCCGUGUGAUGCCUUCCCCAGUGCUGAAUAUGGAGAGAGCAGCCAGGCGACACCAUACACUGGAGUUUUCUGAGGAGGAGUGCGACCACCCCUCCAUCAAGCAAGCAGGAGUGGAGCCUCUGGAGCAGCUGAUGGCUGACCUGGAGCUGGAGAAGAUGGUUCAGGAUGCCAGCAAGACAGCUCUUUGACACUUCCAGUAGUGGUAGAAGCCUCCCCUCUCCACCCUCACUCCUCUGCCACUGCUGACCACAACACUGAGGCUGUAUUCUUCAGGACCUGAUUGUUGCUUGGACUUGAGGCUUCCCUGCUUGGUAACACUACUCUUAAACACUGUGGGCUUUCACUGCAACAAUCUCCAAGGUUUACAGAAAUGAUUAGUCAGGUUCCCCCUGGAUAUUUUUCUUACUAGUGGAAAAUCCUUUUUUAAAGUAUCAUUAGAAUCAUGAAAAUCCAAUAACUUCUACUUCAUCCAGUUAAGUGUUAUUAAGAUACAACACCAAAGUGUUUGAGAAUACAGAGCCACAGUUGGCUUAUUGCUUUGAUCUGUGGCUGAGUGUGUGAACUGGUGUCCUGAGUUCUGCAUCAGGCUGUUGGUGCUUCACAGGGAGGUGGCAGCUACUGGGUGAUGAAGGUUGAGGCUUCCAGCCGUGCAUACACCCCUCAUCUUCAUGCAGGGAGGUGCACUAUGGUGUUCUUGUCAAGCUUGCUUACACAAGUUGCUGUUGUUGUGUCCACACUUGCCUCAUACAAGUAAUAAGUGAUUCUCAGUGAGUGUUGUGUUGUGGUGGUGCAAGAUGCUGCUGAGGCUGGAGUUUUGUCCCAUUGUGUUGUUGGUUGGUUAACUUCCAAAGCAGAGCACUUUCUGACUCUCUUCCUUUUUGCAGAGACCUGCAUUCUCGGAGUCUUCAGUGUUCACCACCAGCUUUGGCUUUCCUCUCCCUUCACUGACCAUCCUGGCAAACUGGCCUUUAAUUAACUUUGAUAUCCUCCAUGACCAAGAGCAGUCGGUGCAACACCCUACUUGUAUUCCUGACCAUCUUGGAGAUACGCCCAACAUUCUUGACCUCUAAUCCUUAUGCUGUCACCUUAUUUUCUCCAUUGGGCUCCUCUGAUCACAAUCUCAUAUCUGUAUCUUGUCCUGUCACUCCACUCCCUCCUCAGGAUCCCCCUAAGUGAAAGUGGCUCUGGCAUUUUGCCUCUGCUAAUCAGAGGGAGCUGAGGAGCUAUUACCAUCCCUGUGUGCUGAGCACAUAACAGAGGUGAUAGUGUCUGGCAUGGAGGCGAACAUUCCUCACUCUUUUUCUUGACCUAAACCUUCCAAACCUUGGUUUAACACAGCUUGUUCUUGUGUUAUACAUGAUAGAGAGGUGGCUCACAAAAGGUACUUGAGCCUUCCAUCACCAGAAUCUCAUGCACUUUAUAUUUCUGCCCUGAACCAUACCAACUCUGUUCUUCAAAAAUAAAAAACUUUAAAGAUCUAACUCCCUUCAUGACUUCUUGCAUCUAGCCAAAAAACUUCUCUAAUAACUUUGCUUCUUCAUCUUUCCCUCCUUCAUUUCAACCUGAUGGCAUCACUGCCAUCUCAUCUAUUUCUAAAGCUGACCAUUUGCUCAAAUCUUUGCUAAAAACUCUAUCUUGGAUGAUUCAGGCCUUGUUCCUCCCUCUCUUCAACCUUCUGAUUACUUCAUGCUACUUAUUAAAAUCCUUCGCAGUGAUAUUUUCCAUGCCCUCACUGGCCUAAACCCUCGGUAGGCUUAUGGACCUGAUGGGGUCCUUACUUUUGUUCUUCAAAACUGUACCUCCAUGUUUGCACCUUGCCUAGUCAAAGUCUUUCAGCUCUGUCUGUCAACAUCUACCUUUUCUUCUUGCUGGAAGUUUACCUAAAUUCAGCCUGUUCCCUAAAAAGAGUGACCAUUCUAAUCCUGCAAACUACCAUUCUAUUGCUCUAAUUUCCUGCCUAUCUAAAGUUUUUUAAUUUAUCCUCAAUAGGAAGAUUCUUAAACAUCUAUCACUUCACAACCUUCUAUCUGAUCACCAGUAUGGAUUCCAUCAAGGCUGCUCUGCUGGUGAUCUUCUCCCUUUCCUUACUGAAUCUUGGUCAUACUCUUUAAAGAAUUUUGGUGAAACUUUUGUUGUUGCCUUAGACAUAUCAAAAGCUUUUGAUCAAGUCUGGCACAAAGCUUUGAUUUCCAAACUACCUUUCUACAGCUUCUAUCCUCUGUAACUUCAUCCCAAGUUUCUUUUCUGACUGUUCUAUUGCUCCUGUGGUAGAGGGUCACUGUUGUUCUAAAUCUAUUAACAGAGGUGUUCCUCAGGGUUCUGUCCUGUCACCCACUCUUUUCCUAUUAUCCAUCAAUGAUCUAAAUCAAACUUCUUGUCCUCUCCACUCCUAAGCUGAUGAUACCAACCUGCACUUUUGGACAUCUUUUCAUAGACAUCCAACCCUUCAGGAAGUAAACACUUCACACUGGGAAGCUAGAGACUAUCUGACUUCUGAUUUUUCAAAAAUUUUUCUGAUUGGGGCAGAGCAAACUUGGUAUUGUUCAAUGCCUCAAAAACUUAAUUCCUCCAACUGUCAACUCAACACAGCCUUCCAGACAACUAUCUCCUCUUCUUCAGUGACACUCAACUGUCCCCCCUUCUACACUGAACAUCCUUGGUCUGUCCUUUACUUAUAAUCUAAACUGAAAACUUCACAUCUCAUCUCUAGCUAGGACAGCUUCUAUGAAUCUAGCCAUUCUGAGACAUCUCUGCCAGUUUUUCUCACCCCCCAGCUGCUAACUCUGUACUGGGCCUUUAUCCGUCUAUGUAUGUAGUAUGCUUCACAUUACUGGGAGGGGGGGGUUCCACUCAUACCACUAUUUUAGACAGGGUGGAAUCAAAAGUUUUUUUGUGUUAUCAAUUUUUCUCUUACUGACUGUCUUCAGCCUCUUUUUCAUCACCACAAUGUUGCAUCUCUUGCUAUCUUUUACUGCUGUUUUCAUGCUAACUGCUCUUCUAAUCUUGCGAACUGCAUGCCUCCCCUCCUCUUGCCCCUCCUCCUGCAACCUUGCAGCACAAGACUUUCUUCUUUCUUUCAUCCCUAUUCUGUCCAUCUCUCUAAUGCAAGAGUUAACCAGUAUUCUCAAUCAUUCAUUCGCUUUUCUGGUAAACUCUAGAACUUCCUGCUUGCUUCUGUAUUUCCUCCUUUCUGUGACUUCAACUCUUUCAAGCAGGAGGUUUUAAGACACCUAUCCUUCAAAUUUCAAUGAUUCUCUUGACAUCUCUUUCAGGACUGACCCCUCAGUGGGAUCUUUUUUCCUCUUGUUUCCCUUGGCCAGUGAGCCUUAAAAAAAAAAGUCAUGUGUACAGUCCUUGCCUUACACCUCUUCUUGUAUUCUAUUCUAGGAGUUAUGAAGCAGUCCUAGCAAGUCUUAGUUAUGAAAUAUGUCAUAGCUAGGACAGAAUGGAGCAUUCUUGUCUUAAAUCCACAUGGGAUGGUAAGACUGAGUCCACCCUGUCUUAGCAGCUUAUGACAGAUGCUCCUGCUACCAAGAUGGCCACCCACAACCACCCCAGCUUAGGAAUUAUUUACCCAGAUAGGAUAUAUUGUAUGAAUUUAUGACACAGAACUCAUCAAAAGAUACCAUGUAGAUCAUGCAGGUAUUCUCUCUGUCACCGAUCUAGUAAGAGAAGCCUUAUAGAGUGACACAGAAAGGAGCAACCCACUUACCUCUGAAAUGAAGGUGACCAUAUAACACUUAGAUAUCUUUCUGCUGGGAAGAUACAGUUGUGCAGCAGUGAUGGCCUUGGGGAUUGUUGAGAGAGCCAGCCUUGCCACCAAACCACUUGAAAACUGUUUACAUUGAGGCACUGCUACGGGAUCAUGUUUGCCACAUUUCACACGUCUCAAAGACUGAAUUACAUUGAGGCACUCCUACGGGAUCAUGUUUGCCACAUUUCACACGUCUCAAAGACUGAAUUACAUUGAGGCACUCCUACGGGAUCAUGUUUACCACAUUUCACACGUCUCAAAGACUGAAUUACUAUUUUACCCACUAUUCAGUGUCUCUUCCUCCAAUACAGAAAAACACAGGAAAUAUUUAUAGAAGCUGUUAAUUAGCAGUACUAAAUGGCAGGUUUUGCUUCAUCUUUUAGUAUUUGAAAUGAAGUAGCACUACACAUAGCAGACGGUGAUGAUUGACGGUGUGUCAAGUUACAUGUCUUGCUAUCCUGCUGUGUCCUUUUUCCUCAUUUGCUCCUUGGACCUUUCCACUAUACCCAAGGUGGUGUCAAGACACACUUUUGGAAUCAGUAUUUUAAAUACCUGAGAGAUGUAUUCCUCAAAAAAUAAGCCAAAGUAGCCUUCUGCUGCAGUUUUGCUGGGCAGCUGAAGUAACAGCAUACAAAUGAGAGUUAAACAAAUUGUCCACUAAUAAUGUACUGCACAUAUAAGGCAUUUAAUUACCAUAUUAAUCAACUGUAAUACAGACCAUUGAAAAGUAUGGCUCAUAUGCUAAAUGUACAUACAAUGUUCAUAGGUAUGUACAGGAGAACAAAACUGAAUACAUGUUAACAUGAAUGAGUGGCAACAGUUAUUCACCAAUGGGUGAUGUCAUCUGUAAGAUGCAUGAGUUCAGAAACUAAUGCCCACUGCUAAAACUUCACAUAAUGCACCCACAGCACCAAUGAAACCAGAGGCCCCAGCAACACCAGCAGAUGAGGGCUGGAUGACUGUAACACCACUGCUGGUGGGUGGAUGGCUAUGGUCCUCACAGAGAGCCAGACUCUCCUGGAAAGAGGGAAAAAAAGAAAUACAGGGAGGGCUUUUUUUUUUUUAUGUAGGAGGGACACCACGGAAAAAAAAUAAUGAUAAAAAAAACAAAAACAAACAAACUGAGAUGCCAAAAAAACAAAAAACAAACAAACUGAAAUGCCAAUCCCUGAACAAGGUCCGAAGUAGUAGUCAAAAAAUUGAAGCACAAGCAUGUUAAAACCUCCCUCUUGAAGGAAUUCAAGUCACAGGAAGGUGGAAAUACAGAAGCAGGAAGGGAGUUCCAGAUUUUACCAAAGAAAGUGAUGAAUGAUUGAGAAUACUGGUUAACUCCUGCAUUAGAGAGAUGGACAGAAUAGGAGAGAGAGAAAGAAGAAAGUUUUGUGCAGUGAGGCCGUGGGAGGAGGGGAAGGCAUGCAGUUGGCAAGAUCAGAAAAGCAGUUAGCAUGAAAAUAGUGGUAGAAGACAGCUAGAGAUGUAACACUGUGGCAAUGAGAAAAGAGGCUGAAGACAGUCAGUUAGAGGAGAGGAGUUGAUGAGAUGAAAAGCUUUUGAUUCCACCCUGUCUAGAAGAGCAGUAUGAGUGGAACCACCCUAGUCAUGUGAAGCAUACUCCAUACAUGGAUGGAUAAGGCCCCAGUACAGAGUUAGCAGCUGGAAGGGUGAGAAAACUAGUGAUGUCUCAGAACACCUAACUUCAUAGCUGUUUUAGCUAGAGAUGAGAUGUGAAGUUUUCAGUUUAGAUUGUAACUAAAAGACAGGAUGUUCAGUGUAGAAGAGAGGGACAGUUGAGUGUCACUGAAGAAGAGGGGAUAGUUGUCUGGAAGGUUGUUUUAAAUUGAUAGAUGGAGGAAUUAAGUUUUUGAGUUACUGAACAAUACCAAGUUUGUUCUGCCCCAAUCAGAAAUUUUGGAGAUAUUAAAAGUCAGGCGCUCUGUGGCUUCCCUGUGUGAACUGAAGGGUUGGAUGUCUAGAGACAUGGAAAAGUGCAGGAUGGUAUCAUCAGCUUAGGAGUGGAUAGGACAAGAAGUUUGGUUUAGAAGAUUAUAGAUGAAUAAUAGGAAGAGAGUGGGUGACAGGACAGAACCAUGAGGAACACCAUUACUAAUAGAUUUAGAAGAACAGUGACCAUCUACCACAGCAGCAAUAGAAUGGUCAGAAAGGAAACUUGAGAUGAAGUUACAGAGAGAAGAAUAGAAGCCAUAGGAGGGUAGUUUGGAAAUCAAAGCUUUGUGCCAGACUCUAUCAAAAGCUUUCGAUAUGUCCAAGGCAACAACAAAAGUUUCACCAAAAUCUCUAAAAGAGGAUGACCAAGACUCAGUAAGGAAAGCCAAAGUAUCACCAGUAUAGCAGCCUUGACAGAACCCAUACUGGUGAUCAGAUAGAAGGUUGUGAAGUGAUAAAUGUUUAAGAAUCUUCCUGUUGAGGAUAGAUUCAAAAACUUUAGACAGGCAGGAAAUUAAAGCAAUAGGAUGGUAGUUUGAGGGAUUAGAAUGGUCACCCUUUUUAGGAACUUUUUAGGAAUGUAGGCAAACUUCCAACAAGAAGGAAGGUAGAUGUUGACAGACAGAGUUGAAAGAGUUUGACUAAACAAGAGCAAGCACAGAGGUGCAGUUUCAGAGAACAAUAGGAGGGACUCGUAUAAGGUCCAUAAGCCUUCUGAGGGUUAUGCCAGUGAAGGCAUGAAGUAGUCAGAGGGUGGAAGAGAGGAAGGAACAAGGCCUACAGUAGUGCUUUUAACAAAGGUGAAGAGUUCAGCUUUAGAGAUGGA
Scylla paramamosain (green mud crab) is the source of this 9232-nucleotide long non-coding RNA. RefSeq lists it as uncharacterized. NCBI's taxonomy places the organism in Eukaryota, Metazoa, Arthropoda, Malacostraca, Decapoda, Portunidae. The transcript is spliced from 2 exons. The record is from RefSeq and is a predicted model, not a curated record.